UCCACUCGGGCAGCGAUGGCUGCUGUGAAAACCCUGAACCCAAGGCCGAGGUGGCCAGCGCGCAGGCGGCGCUGGCGGUCAACAUCAGCGCGGCGAGGGGGCUGCAGGACGUGUUGAGGACCAACUUGGGGCCUAAAGGCACCAUGAAGAUGCUCGUUUCUGGCGCCGGAGACAUCAAGCUUACUAAAGAUGGCAAUGUGCUGCUUCACGAAAUGCAAAUUCAACACCCUACGGCCUCUUUAAUAGCAAAAGUAGCAACAGCCCAGGAUGAUAUAACUGGUGAUGGUACUACUUCCAACGUCCUGAUUAUUGGAGAGCUGCUGAAACAGGCAGAUCUCUACAUUUCUGAGGGUCUUCAUCCCCGAAUAAUUACUGAAGGUUUUGAAACUGCAAAGGAAAAGGCCCUACAGUUUUUGGAACAAGUUAAAGUAAGCAGAGAGAUGGACAGGGAGAUACUUACAGAUGUGGCCAGAACAUCUCUGCGCACUAAAGUUCACGCAGAACUUGCAGAUGUCCUAACAGAGGCUGUGGUAGAUUCCAUUUUGGCCAUUAGGAGAAAAGAUGAACCUAUUGACCUGCUCAUGGUUGAGAUCAUGGAGAUGAAGCAUAAGUCGGAAACUGAUACAAGCUUAAUCAGGGGGCUUGUUUUGGACCAUAGGGCACGGCACCCUGAUAUGAAAAAAAGAGUGGAAAAUACAUACAUCCUCACAUGCAAUGUCUCCUUGGAAUAUGAGAAAACAGAAGUGAACUCUGGCUUUUUCUACAAGAGUGCAGAAGAAAGAGAAAAGCUAGUAAAAGCCGAAAGGAAAUUCAUUGAAGAUAGAGUUAAAAAAAAUAGUGGAAUUGAAAAAGAAGGUCGGACAGUAUUUAUGUUAUUUCCUAAGUGGAUAGGCAUUGGUCAGCAUAAUUCCCUGACUUGUUCUGGGAUAAUGUUUGUCAGGUUUCUUUGUACCCAAUGA
Molecule: RNA transcript, 959 nt
Organism: Octodon degus (degu)
Lineage: Eukaryota; Metazoa; Chordata; Mammalia; Rodentia; Octodontidae
Gene name: T-complex protein 1 subunit zeta pseudogene
Exons: 1
Source: RefSeq, a predicted model, not a curated record